Molecule: long non-coding RNA, 426 nt
Filed under: Homo sapiens (human)
Lineage: Eukaryota; Metazoa; Chordata; Mammalia; Primates; Hominidae
Description: HSALNT0315807
Source: RNAcentral
AAACAAAAAAUUCCUACCCGAGAAGACUCAUGACUCUGGAACACAGUGAGUGCAGCUGUUAUGCAAUCAGAAGAAAGGACCCCUGCUAACACUGGAUCUCUGGCUUCUGGGAUCCAAAACGACUCAGUGGUCAGCGGAAACUUGAUGAUAGCAUAGUGGUCAAGCUUGUUUCUCCUGGGAGCGCUCUUCCGAGGAUAUUUGGGCUGUCUCCGGAGUCGCAGUGUCUUCGGCCGCCGGAAGGUGGGUGACGUGCGGAUCUUCUUCUUUUUGUGGCUGUGGACACCUUUCAACACUGCCUUCUUGGCCUUUAAAGCCUUCGCUUUGGCUUCAGCUUUAGGAGGGGCAGGAGCUUCCUUCUUCGCUUUCGGCGCCAUGUUGUGAAAAGGGUCCAUAUGCUGUGUUUUAAGGUAGAUUUUUAUUUAAAUG